CCACACUUCCAUUAAGGGGGGAAUUGAGCAGAGGACAUGAGAGGACAGAUCGAAUUACUCUUUGUGUGAACGCAGAUUGAAUAGAAGUGUGUGCAGCCAGAAAACAGAAAAAAAGAACCAUGUUAAAAGCUGUGCGUGUUUAUCAGAAGACACAGAUUUUCAAAUUUUCACAAAGACUGUUCCAAGAUUAUAUUCUACAACAGACAAAUAAAGAAAGUAGCACAAGAUACAACGUGAAGUCUAGAAGCAAGCACGUGGCAGAGAUUGACAAGCAUCCAGAAUCAAGCCCAGAACUGC
Pelobates cultripes (western spadefoot toad) is the source of this 297-nucleotide non-coding RNA. The record is from the annotation of a GenBank genome assembly. NCBI's taxonomy places the organism in Eukaryota, Metazoa, Chordata, Amphibia, Anura, Pelobatidae.